CUAGGCAUUCUCUGAAACUAUGACAAGGGGCUUAAAACUCUUCCCACGUAUUGCCACAUACAGUACUCACCGCAAGCAGUCCCCUAAACUGUCUGGCUGUGGUUACAGUUCAGUUCUGAGCCAGGAAUGGGGCAGGACAGUGCUGAGCCCAGGCAGGCUACUGUGCUUUCAGCACGCUUUGCUGGAUGGAUGAGACCUGGCAUUCCCAAUUAGGGCACUCGCACAAAGCGCCGGCCGGGCCGUGGCAUUGCCAUGCAGCCCAGCUCUGCAGCGCUGGCUCCGCUGGCAGCUCCAAGGGAAGCGCACAUGGCGAUUUCUGUACAGCAGCAUAUGGGAAGGAUGUGGAAGGACGACUGGUUUCUCCCAGGCUUGUGAGGAGCUCCCAUCAGAAAGCAGCAAUUCAAAAUGGAAGGACACAUCUUUUGCACCUGGCACUUCAGGCAAACAGCAGCUGAAAGAGAACUCUGUAACAUGUCCAUAAUAGGCUGCUCCCCUGCCUUCAGGAGCAAGUGGCCAUUUCAAUGGCUGCAGAUGUUUGUGCAAGAAUGGACACUGCUCAGUACCAUUCUCUGCUAAUGCCAGAGUCCUUGUAGUCAACAGCUUGAGCUCUUUAAUUCAUGAUACAAUCUUUUUGCUAAAAGGUCUCAAGGAAACACUGAUAGCUUCUGCUACGAGUGUGCAAGGGAUGUGUUGGUUUAAAAGGUCACAUUGAUGUCCUUCAUUUACUUACAGUAAAGGCCUUCAUUGUAUUUUUCUGAUUCUGCCUGCCCGAAUGGAUAGGCAUGUUAGCUGUGUAGCUUGCUGAAUUCUGAACACAGAAAAAAACCCCAAGUAUGUUAUAACUGGUUCUCAUUAAACUGCUAAAUGGAAUACUAAAAGGUAGCUUAAAAUCAGGUGCAUUUAAUAAAGUUAUAUUUGAAUUGGCA
RNAcentral lists this long non-coding RNA (926 nucleotides) under Zonotrichia albicollis (white-throated sparrow). RNAcentral's name for it is "lncRNA (ENSZALG00000008766.1)". The record is from RNAcentral. Lineage: Eukaryota; Metazoa; Chordata; Aves; Passeriformes; Passerellidae.